GAUGAACGCUGGCGGCGUGCCUAAUACAUGCGAGUCGAGCGAACAGACGAGGAGCUUGCUCCUCUGACGUUAGCGGCGGACGGGUGAGUAACACGUGGAUAACCUACCUAUAAGACUGGGAUAACUUCGGGAAACCGGAGCUAAUACCGGAUAAUAUAUUGAACCGCAUGGUUCAAUAGUGAAAGACGGUUUUGCUGUCACUUAUAGAUGGAUCCGCGCCGCAUUAGCUAGUUGGUAAGGUAACGGCUUACCAAGGCGACGAUGCGUAGCCGACCUGAGAGGGGGAUCGGCCACACUGGAGCUGAGACACGGUCCAGACUCCUACGGGAGGCAGCAGUAGGGAAUCUUCCGCAAUGGGCGAAAGCCUGACGGGCAACGCCGCGUGAGUGAUGAAGGUCUUCGGAUCGUAAAACUCUGUUAUUAGGGAAGAACAAAUGUGUAAGUAACUAUGCACGUCUUGACGGUACCUAAUCAGAAAGCCACGGCUAACUACGUG
This 496-nucleotide ribosomal RNA is filed under the name uncultured bacterium. RNAcentral describes it as "partial 16S ribosomal RNA". It matches the Rfam family "Bacterial small subunit ribosomal RNA", at positions 28 to 507 of the family's 1533-position model. The record is from RNAcentral.